This is a non-coding RNA of Hordeum vulgare subsp. vulgare (domesticated barley), 139 nucleotides long. The record is from Rfam. NCBI's taxonomy places the organism in Eukaryota, Viridiplantae, Streptophyta, Magnoliopsida, Poales, Poaceae.
CCUCUCAGUGAUGAGGAGUUCACCUCAUUCAUCCUCAAUGGCCUUGAUGAGGACUAUGAUUCCCUGGUGGAAAGUAUUAAUGGAGGUGACACACCACUGCCACCACGUGAUCUUUAUGCGCGCCUCCUGAACGCGGAAC